UAUUGCACAAUGGGGGAAACCCUGAUGCAGCGUCGCCGCGUGAAGGAAGAAGUAUUUCGGUAUGUAAACUUCUAUCAGCAGGGAAGAAAAUGACGGUACCUGAGUAAGAAGCCCCGGCUAACUACGUGCCAGCAGCCGCGGUAAUACGUAGGGGGGCAAGCGUUAUCCGGAUUUACUGGGUGUAAAGGGAGCGUAGACGGUAAUGUAAGUCUGAUGUGAAAGCCCGGGGCUCAACCCCGGGACUGCAUUGGAAACUAUGUAACUAGAGUACCGGAGAGGUAAGCGGAAUUCCUAGUGUAGCGGUGAAAUGCGUAGAUAUUAGGAGGAACACCAGUGGCGAAGGCGGCUUACUGGACGGAAACUGACGUUGAGGCUCGAAAGCGUGGGGAGCAAACAGG
RNAcentral lists this ribosomal RNA (398 nucleotides) under uncultured bacterium. RNAcentral's name for it is "bacterial SSU rRNA". It matches the Rfam family "Bacterial small subunit ribosomal RNA", at positions 362 to 776 of the family's 1533-position model. The record is from RNAcentral.